RNAcentral lists this non-coding RNA (577 nucleotides) under Pan troglodytes (chimpanzee). Lineage: Eukaryota; Metazoa; Chordata; Mammalia; Primates; Hominidae. The record is from RNAcentral.
GUGCUCCUCCUGCAGCGGACGGAAGAUGCUGGGCCACGCAAGUUUCCCUGGGCUUGGUUAACCACCCCAAAGCCCAUUUCCAGAAGGAAAGGGUGUUGAGGAGGAGGGAUAGAAAGUCGAGAAGAGGGCCGGGUGGAGUGGCUCACGCCUGUCAUCCCAGCACUUUGGGAGGCCGAGACAGGCGGAUCACCUGAGGUCAGGACUUAGAGACCAGCCUGGCCUACAUGGUGAAACCCCGUCUCUACUAAAAAUACAAAAAUUAGCCGGGUGUGGUGCCGUGCGCCUGUAGUCCCAGCAACUCGGGAGGCUGAGGUAGGAGAAUCGCUUGAACCCGGGAGUCGGAGGUUGCAGUGCUGAGAUGGCACCUGGCCUGGGCGACAAGAGCGAAACUCCAUCUCAAAAAAAAAAAAGAAGAGGAAAUGAGACAUAGGGGCAGGCGAGCCGGGAAAAUAUUGCUACUAAGGAUCCUAAGCAGUGAACAUGCUGUUAAUACUUAGAUGAGAUCUUGCUCUGUCACCCAGACUGGAGUGCAGUGGCACGAUCAUAGCUCACUGCACCUUCAAACUCCUGGACUCAA